Molecule: ribosomal RNA, 435 nt
Filed under: uncultured bacterium
Lineage: Bacteria
Description: bacterial SSU rRNA
Rfam family: Bacterial small subunit ribosomal RNA
Source: RNAcentral
AACGAACGCUGGCGGCAGGCCUAAAACAUGCAAGUCGAACGGGUGUAGCAAUACAUCAGUGGCGCACGGGUGAGUAACGCGUGGGAACGUGCCCUUCAGUACGGGACAACGUCGGGAAACUGACGCUAAUACCGUAUAAUAUCUCCGGAUCAAAGAUUUAUCGCUGAAGGAUCGGCCCGCGUCUGAUUAGUUUGUUGGUGAGGUAACGGCUCACCAAGACUACGAUCAGUAGCUGGUCUGAGAGGAUGAUCAGCCACACUGGGACUGAGACACGGCCCAGACUCCUACGGGAGGCAGCAGUUAGGAAUAUUGGACAAUGGGGGAAACCCUGAUCCAGCCAUGCCGCGUGUGUGAUGAAGGCCUUAGGGUUGUAAAGCUCUUUUACCAGGGAUGAUAAUGACAGUACCUGGAGAAUAAGCUCCGGCUAACUCCGUG